Molecule: non-coding RNA, 129 nt
Filed under: Oxyrrhis marina
Lineage: Eukaryota; Dinophyceae; Oxyrrhinales; Oxyrrhinaceae
Source: RNAcentral
GGGGUGGUGCGACACGGAGAUGUCCCGCGAGAACAAGACCGCGACCUUGAACCGCAACAAGGUGGCCGCAGACAGCGCUGCCAUCGAGGAGGCUGAGGCGACCAAGGCGUCCAAGGAGGCGGACAUCGA